This 425-nucleotide ribosomal RNA is filed under the name uncultured bacterium. Its description in RNAcentral is "bacterial SSU rRNA". It matches the Rfam family "Bacterial small subunit ribosomal RNA", at positions 506 to 930 of the family's 1533-position model. The record is from RNAcentral.
CGCCAGCAGCCGCGGUAAAACGUAGGAGGCGAGCGUUAUCCGGAUUUACUGGGCGUAAAGCGCGCGCAGGCGGCUUGGUAAGUUGGACGUGAAAGCUCCUGGCUUAACUGGGAGAGGCCGUUCGAAACUGCCGGGCUUGAGGUUGGGAGAGGGGUGCGGAAUUCCCGGUGUAGUGGUGGAAUGCGUAGAUAUCGGGAGGAACACCAGUGGCGAAGGCGGCACCCUGGCCCACACCUGACGCUGAGGUGCGAAAGCGUGGGGAGUAAACAGGAUUAGAUACCCUGGUAAUCCACGCCGUAAACGAUGUCAACUAGGUGUCGGUGGUGUUACACUAUCGGUGCCGAAGCAAACGCGUUAAGUUGACCGCCUGGGGACUACGGCCGCAAGGCUAAAACUCAAAGGAAUUGACGGGGGCCCGCACAAGU